AAUCUAUUAGCUCAAAUGGAAGAGCGUUGUGCUAUGCAUAAGAUGUGGGUUCGAUUCCCAAAUAGGUUA
RNAcentral lists this transfer RNA (69 nucleotides) under Beta vulgaris subsp. vulgaris (sugar beet). It matches the Rfam family "tRNA". From Rfam's summary of the family: Transfer RNA (tRNA) molecules are approximately 80 nucleotides in length. Lineage: Eukaryota; Viridiplantae; Streptophyta; Magnoliopsida; Caryophyllales; Amaranthaceae. The record is from Rfam by way of RNAcentral.